RNAcentral lists this ribosomal RNA (357 nucleotides) under uncultured bacterium. RNAcentral describes it as "bacterial SSU rRNA". It matches the Rfam family "Bacterial small subunit ribosomal RNA", at positions 8 to 350 of the family's 1533-position model. The record is from RNAcentral.
AGAGUUUGAUCCUGGCUCAGGAUGAACGCUAGCUACAGGCUUAACACAUGCAAGUCGAGGGGAAACGACAUCGAAAGCUUGCUUUUGAUGGGCGUCGACCGGCGCACGGGUGAGUAACGCGUAUCCAACCUGCCCAUCACUUGGGGAUAACCUUGCGAAAGUAAGACUAAUACCCAAUGACGUCUCUAGAAGACAUCUGAAAGAGAUUAAAGAUUUAUCGGUGAUGGAUGGGGAUGCGUCUGAUUAGCUUGGUUGGGCGGGGUAACGGCCACCAAGGCGACGAUCAGGUAGGGGUUCUGGAGAGGAAGGUCCCCCANAUUGGAACUGAGACACGGUCCAAACUCCGUACGGGAGGCA